This 698-nucleotide ribosomal RNA is filed under the name uncultured Staphylococcus sp. RNAcentral's name for it is "bacterial SSU rRNA". It matches the Rfam family "Bacterial small subunit ribosomal RNA", at positions 58 to 738 of the family's 1533-position model. Lineage: Bacteria; Bacillati; Bacillota; Bacilli; Caryophanales; Staphylococcaceae. The record is from RNAcentral.
CAAGUCGAGCGAACGGACGAGAAGCUUGCUUCUCUGAUGUUAGCGGCGGACGGGUGAGUAACACGUGGAUAACCUACCUAUAAGACUGGGAUAACUUCGGGAAACCGGAGCUAAUACCGGAUAAUAUUUUGAACCGCAUGGUUCAAAAGUAAAAGACGGUCUUGCUGUCACUUAUAGAUGGAUCCGCGCUGCAUUAGCUAGUUGGUAAGGUAACGGCUUACCAAGGCAACGAUGCAUAGCCGACCUGAGAGGGUGAUCGGCCACACUGGAACUGAGACACGGUCCAGACUCCUACGGGAGGCAGCAGUAGGGAAUCUUCCGCAAUGGGCGAAAGCCUGACGGAGCAACGCCGCGUGAGUGAUGAAGGUCUUCGGAUCGUAAAACUCUGUUAUUAGGGAAGAACAUAUGUGUAAGUAACUGUGCACAUCUUGACGGUACCUAAUCAGAAAGCCACGGCUAACUACGUGCCAGCAGCCGCGGUAAUACGUAGGUGGCAAGCGUUAUCCGGAAUUAUUGGGCGUAAAGCGCGCGUAGGCGGUUUUUUAAGUCUGAUGUGAAAGCCCACGGCUCAACCGUGGAGGGUCAUUGGAAACUGGAAAACUUGAGUGCAGAAGAGGAAAGUGGAAUUCCAUGUGUAGCGGUGAAAUGCGCAGAGAUAUGGAGGAACACCAGUGGCGAAGGCGACUUUCUGGUCUGUA